This is a long non-coding RNA of Fundulus heteroclitus (mummichog), 648 nucleotides long. RefSeq lists it as uncharacterized. The record is from RefSeq and is a predicted model, not a curated record. Lineage: Eukaryota; Metazoa; Chordata; Actinopteri; Cyprinodontiformes; Fundulidae. The transcript has 2 exons.
CCCGGGUGUAAAUCUCAGUGAUCAAGCCUGUGUAAAAUUCAACUUCCAUCCCCUCACUACUUCAUAGCCAAUCACUGUCAAGUAUCAAGGUCACAUGUACUUCCACAGCCUAUCAGCUAGGUAUAUUAGCUGGAGUAAGGAAGUAGGAAAGUAAGGACAUGUUGGGAGAAGCAGAGCUGCAGGAGCUAACUACUUUGCCAGGAUAGGAUGGGGAGAAAAACCUGUUGUGAGACAUAAACUUUGGAAUUGGCCAGGUUUGAUGGCGAGCUGAAGAUCCAGGCCUAGAGCCCAAGAAAGAUUUGCACUUUGGCAUGCGUGCGUGAAGACUUGUUGAUCUCCUGCCAGACUGGUAGGAGGCUCCUUGCAGCCAGCGAACAGUUCUGUUCUACCCUGAUCUGACUUGAGUCAGUUAGGACCUGAACUGCACCAAGCACUUUAAAAGAACUUGCUUGGGACCUUUAACCAACCCCAGCUUGGGGUGAAUGAACUGAAGGGUGUGGGUUCAUUAAUUGUAGAAUUGAUUAAUGUUUUUUCUGUUUAUUUUGUUUUUUUCUUUUGCGCAUUUUAUAUGGCCAUUUGAAUGUUUCACUGUUGUAAAUAUGUAUAUAAUUGUCUACACUAUAAAUACAAAGGCACUCGCAACUGCAA